GGGCGGGGCUGGCGCACCGUCUCUACAGCAACGCCUUAGCCAGAGGGUGCUCAGGUUUUCGGGACCGCGCGUGGCGCUCUCAGAUGACGUCACACACCCGCGGCGCUUGCGUGACGUAAGCCCUGCUCAGUAAGAAGGCUCCGCAGGUCGGCAGAGAACACCACCACUAAUGGGAAGACUGCCCCCUGACCGGCACAUGGCCUCAGCAUUCAUCCACAGAUGCUCCUCAAAUUGUUUUAAAAACAGCUUUUUUUAAAAGCUGUUUGUCUAUGAAGAUUAAAUGAGUUAAUAAUAUAAGCAAAGCACUUUGCAUGGCUACUGGGCACGGUGGUUCAUGCCUGUAAUUCCAGCACUUUGGGAGGCCGAAGCAGGUGGAUCACCUGAGGUCAGGAGUUCAAGACCAGCCUGAUCAACAUGGCGAAACCCUGUCUCUAUUAAAAAUACAAAAAAAAUAGCCGGGCAUGGUGGCACGUGCCUGUAAUCCCAGCUACUUGGGAGGCUAAGGCAGGAGAAUCGCUUGAACCUGGGAGGCAGAGGUUGCAGUGAGCCGAGACCUCGCCGUUGCACUCCAGCCUGGUUGACAGAGCAAGACUCUGUCUCAAAAAACAAAAAAACCCCAGCUUUUGUCCAGAGGUUGCUUUUUGUGGGUCUGUACGCUGAGGCCAAGUUCUAUGUAAGCAGAGCCCUCCCACCUCACCUCCAAACAAUGCCUCUAAACCAUCACAAUCUGAAAGGAAAAUAAAUCCCUUUCUUCAAUGGUGACCUGAAGCUAGCCAAGGACCGGGUGCUGGCAGGUGGCCUGCGAGACUGGGUCGGAUCCCGGGUUACUGUCUGAGGAGGGAUGCCGUGCUGUAAGGGUUGGGGAGCCAGUGUCUGGCUUCCUUGUCACCACAAGACCUGUGGUUUCCAGCUCUGUCUGCAUCCAGGUCCCACUAACCAACAGCAGGAGAGAAAACAGUUGUGCACACAGGCGGACGCGCACACGCGCACCUGGCCCCCCAGACGUGCACAGCCCUCAGAGGAAGUGGAGCACCAGAUGUUCUGGGUUUCCUGUUCGACGCUUCCACAGCUGGUCGAGUCUGUGGUUGUGGUUUGUCUGUCUCGGGCUCAUGUGAGAGACAAAAGCUGGGCUGACGGGAAACCUCUUCUCUCGGCCCCCACUCCCCAGCUCUGACUGAUUAGGAAACCUGGCAGGUCAGAAAUUUCCUGAAACACCCAGAGCUGGAUUCUCCCAAGAAGAAGCUGAACCCCCAACUCCCAUCCCUGAGGAGCAGCCCCUGGGCUGAUGAUCAGGACUUACAGAACCUGGGGCGAUGGAAACCUCUACAAAUAUCCCAUUUAGAAAGACCGCCAGCCCUGCCAACAGAAUGAAACGGAGGCCAGGUUGCUAUGGUCUCUACUCCAAUGCCUGACAUUGAGCCGCUGCUGCAAAACACUCAGCACAUGAAGGAAUGAAUGAGGAACAGAGAACUUCACCUUUGGGGGUUGGGUGUACAAGCCCCAACUGGGCCCCAAGUCCCAUAAAUAGCUUUGGAUUCCAACAUACAAGCAUUUGACGCAGCGAGGUGCUGCCGACUUGCUCUGUGACUUGGAGCAAGUCAUUUAGCCUCUCUGGGCCUGGUGUCCUCAUCUGCAGAAUGGAGAUGAUAAUAUCUACUUCACAAAGGUGUGAAGGCCCUGUGAGACACCGCAUGUGGAUUUCCUCGACAUUGUUUGCCCAUCGUAACUGCUCCAGAGAGGCUGGGCUCCCUUUUCUCGUUGCAACACUGCUGUUUAUUUCAGGAGAUACUCUAAAAGGGAAGCAAGCUAAAACAAAGAACAACCAAAAACACUGAUCCCGGGACAACUGCCCGGCAGGACAGCAGAGCAAGGGUACUUGGUGCUCUUCGUUGGGGGGAUGUUGGGAGAAGGGGCUGGAGCCAUCCCAGGGUCUCCAGGCUCUGGAAGGGAGCACCCCAUGUCCUCCUCUGGGUGUGGAAUAGGGUGAGUGUCUUAGGGGUGGAGAGAGAACAGGCAGAGUGUGCUCUCACCCCUUAGCUCUGUAGUGAUUUUAAUGAUUAAGGCUACUGUUCGGUCUGCAUUUGGACCUGAGCAACAGGGACCCCUGCCCAGAGGUCCAUCCUUCAGCAGCGUGCACUGCAUCCCCCUCCACUGCAGCUGACUCUAUGAGAUGAAGCAUCUGUCGCUCAGUGUAGCCAUCAGGUCCACUGCCCCUGAAAUAUGACUGACUAGGUUCAAAUGUUGACUCUGACACUUAGAAGCUGUGCCACCUUGGGGCAAGUUACUUCAUCUCUCUGUGCCUUACUUUCUUCCUUUAUAAAAUGGGUAAAAUAAUAACCACACCAUCGGUUGUCUAUGAAGAUUAAAUGAGUUGAUAAUAUAUGCAAAGCACUUAGCAUGGCUACUGGCACAAGGGUCAGUAAACGUUAACUGUUCCACACA
Molecule: long non-coding RNA, 2442 nt
Organism: Homo sapiens (human)
Lineage: Eukaryota; Metazoa; Chordata; Mammalia; Primates; Hominidae
Product: long intergenic non-protein coding RNA 2606
Source: Ensembl